RNAcentral lists this long non-coding RNA (983 nucleotides) under Olea europaea (common olive). Its description in RNAcentral is "long non-coding RNA (OEUR_LNC002939)". The record is from RNAcentral. Lineage: Eukaryota; Viridiplantae; Streptophyta; Magnoliopsida; Lamiales; Oleaceae.
CAGAUACAAAGAGACAAAAUGUAUUAUGACAAGUCGAGUUUCAGACUUGGAAAUUCAAGUGCAACAACUAAAUCAUCCACAAUAAUUGAAGUGAAUUUACUAUUUACAUUUUAUAUUUAGCCCCUCUUUGAGCCUCUUUUUGGAGGGAAAAAAAGGUAUUCUAGAAUAAUAUUUUUUGAAAAUGUGUUGUUGACCCCAAAAAAUGUUGUCAACAGAAUCUCAAUAUCAUCUUCUUCGUACCUGCACACGUGGCACUUCAUUAAGAGGCAAAGGCUACAGGCCGUGAAAAGGGCCCAGCGACUGUUUGCACUUUGACGGUCAAGUCAGUGACCGGACGGAGAUAUAAAUAUGAAGUGCAAUAUUCGAGAGAGAAGGAACGUUGUUAAAAUGUUUUAACGUGUUUAGGCAUAUCUGGAAAUGAAAGGGAUUCUCAUAUUUAUAAAUAAAUGAAAUGGGCUAAGUGAUUCAUUGGGCCUAGGUCUAAGCCUAGUAUGAGGCGAUUGUAUUAGCAUAGCAAUGAAUACCUCAGCAAGUGCUUCAGCUGGGCUUCUUGGGAACUUGGCAGCACCUUUGAAGGCACCUCGGUUAGACCACUUCUUGUGCCUUGGUUAGACCACUUCGAAUGAUCUUUAGAUAGCUUCGGGUUGGGUUUAGGAUGCACUUUGGCUGAGCCUUGGAGGGCCUCGGUGAACUACCUUGUCAGGCACUUUGGCCAUCUUGGAAGGCACCUCGGUUAGCCCUUUAAGGUACCUCAGCUAACUCCUUGGAAGCACCUCAGCUGACCCUUUGGGAGCACCUCGGCUAGCCCUUUAAGGCAUCUCGGAUGACCGCCUUGAGAGCCUUAGCUUGGGCUUUUACUUGGUUGCCUCUUAUGCCUAUGUUGUCCAACUCUAAUGGGCCUCGUCCAAUAAUAAGGUUUAUGUGAAGUUAUUUAUGGGUAUAACAUGUGUAAUAAAGAAAUAAGCAAAAAAAUUCGAUUUACA